Molecule: ribosomal RNA, 1269 nt
Filed under: metagenome
Description: bacterial SSU rRNA
Rfam family: Bacterial small subunit ribosomal RNA
Source: RNAcentral
AGUCUCCAAAGCCGCAAGGCGCUUCGGGAGGGGCCUGCGUCCGAUUAGCUCGUUGGUGGGGUAACGGCUCACCAAGGCGACGAUCGGUAGGUGGUCUGAGAGGACGAUCACCCAGACUGGGACUGAGACACGGCCCAGACUCCUACGGGAGGCAGCAGUCGGGAAUUUUGCUCAAUGAGCGAAAGCCUGAAGCAGCAACGCCGCGUGAGGGAUGACGGCCUUCGGGUUGUAAACCUCUUUUCUCAGGGACGAUGAUGACGGUACCUGAGGAAUAAGCCACGGCUAACUACGUGCCAGCAGCCGCGGUAAUACGUAGGUGGCGAGCGUUAUCCGGAUUUACUGGGCGUAAAGAGCGCGCAGGCGGUCGUGCAAGUCGGAUGUGAAAGCCCCCGGCUCAACUGGGGAAGGUCAUUCGAUACUGCUCGACUUGAAGGCGGGAGAGGGAAGCGGAAUUCCCGGUGUAGUGGUGAAAUGCGUAGAUAUCGGGAGGAACACCAGUGGCGAAGGCGGCUUCCUGGCCCGUUCUUGACGCUGAGGCGCGAAAGCUAGGGGACAAACGGGAUUAGAUACCCCGGUAGUCCUAGCCGUAAACGAUGACACUAGGUGUUGGUGGUAUCAACCCCGCCAGUGCCGAAGCUAACGCAUUAAGUGUCCCGCCUGGGGAGUACGGCCGCAAGGCUAAAACUCAAAGGAAUUGACGGGGGCCCGCACAAGCAGCGGAGCGUGGGGUUUAAUUCGAUGCAACGCGAAGAACCUUACCAGGGCUUGACAUGACCAGGACAACGGCGGAAACGUCGUCUUCCCGCAAGGGACCUGGCCACAGGUGUUGCAUGGCUGUCGUCAGCUCGUGUCGUGAGAUGUUGGGUUAAAUCCCGCAACGAGCGCAACCCCUGCCGUGUGUUGUAUCUCUCACACGGGACUGCCGAGAGAAACUCGGAGGAAGGUGGGGACGACGUCAAGUCAGCAUGGCCCUUACGUCCUGGGCUACACCCACGCUACAAUGGCCGGUACAACGGGCGGCGAAACCGCGAGGUGGAGCGAAUCCCUUAAAGCCGGUCUCAGUUCGGAUUGUAGGCUGCAACUCGCCUGCAUGAAGCCGGAGUUGCUAGUAACCGCCGGUCAGCAUACGGCGGUGAAUAUGUUCCCGGGCCUUGUACACACCGCCCGUCACGUCAUGAAAGCCGAUAACACCCGAGGCCGGUAGGCCAACCGCAAGGAGGCAGCCGUCGAAGGUGGGAUUGGUGAUUGGGACGAAGUCGUAACAAGGUA